UGUUAAAAAGCUCCUAGUUGGAUCAAGAGUUCGACAGUGCAAGGUGGCCUCACUUGUCAUGCUGGCUCCGGUCAUUGUGACGGUGGCGGAUCAACCCCUUGCGCCAAACUGUCGUCUCUAACAGACCGAAACGGUUCCCUGUGAGUAGUCAACUUUAUUGGGGAUGAAAGCGCCUACGCAUCUACCAUAUGCUUACAAAGUUACUGUAAACAAACCAGCGUGUCCAAAACAGGCUUUCGCCUGAAUGUUCGAGCAUGGAAUAACAAGGGAUCGAUUAUCUCGGUUCUUUUUGUUGGUUUUUAACCCGAGAAGGAGAAAUUCAGGCCACGGUGUCUGGGCUGGGUUCCCCUAGUCUUCGGAUUAGGCCCCAGUUAGGCCGUGUCCUUACGGGAUCAGUAGGGACUGACGGGGUCGUACGUACUUCCACGUCAGAGGUGAAAUUCUUAAGAAUGUCUUCAUUAAUCAAGAACGAGAGUGUGGGGAUCCAAUAUGAUCGAUACCGUCGUUACUCCCACUACUG
RNAcentral lists this ribosomal RNA (520 nucleotides) under uncultured marine eukaryote. RNAcentral's name for it is "bacterial SSU rRNA". It matches the Rfam family "Eukaryotic small subunit ribosomal RNA", at positions 618 to 1032 of the family's 1831-position model. The record is from RNAcentral.